Long non-coding RNA from Pantherophis guttatus, 464 nucleotides. RefSeq lists it as uncharacterized. Lineage: Eukaryota; Metazoa; Chordata; Lepidosauria; Squamata; Colubridae. The record is from RefSeq and is a predicted model, not a curated record.
UGAUUUGCUGCCUCUGCCUUCUAAUUAGCAGGCUAAAAGCAAUCAUCCGGGCACCAUGGCAACAGCUUACAGAAUCUCCCACCCACCCACCUACCCACCAAUGCCUUUCGGAUGAGUUUUGUUUCCAAAAGAGGCUUCUUAAAGGCACCGCCCCAGGCUCAGAGAUGGAGGGGAACAAAAGGGAGGAAGAUUUCAAGACUGAAGAUUGCAAAAGACCGAACGUAUUUCAGUACAGCUAAGAGCCCUGGUCCCCAAUUUGCCUUCAGGCCUGCAAGAAGCAUCCAGAGGUCUUCCUUUUUCAGCAUCCUCCUCCUGACCUUCUUCCUAAGGGCAAAAAGCUUUUCAAAGGCGGUCACACCAUCCUGGUUUGUUCCGAUUCUCACAACACGCUCCCUGCGUUCCGACAUUCGCUAAGCCGGGCAAGAUUUCUGGGGUGGUGGGAGGAAACGGGGAGGGGGUAAAUA